GACGAACCGUGCAAACGUUGUUCGGAAUCACUGGGCUUAAAGGGCGCGUAGGCGGGCAAGCAAGUCCGGGGUGAAAUCUUUCGGCUCAACCGGAAAAGUGCCUUGGAUACUGCUUGUCUGGAGGGAGGUAGGGGCAUGUGGAACUUCUGGUGGAGCGGUGAAAUGCGUUGAUAUCAGGAGGAACGCCGGUGGCGAAAGCGACGUGCUGGACCUCUUCUGACGCUGAGGCGCGAAAGCUAGGGGAGCAAACGGG
This 253-nucleotide ribosomal RNA is filed under the name uncultured bacterium. RNAcentral's name for it is "partial 16S ribosomal RNA". It matches the Rfam family "Bacterial small subunit ribosomal RNA", at positions 524 to 776 of the family's 1533-position model. The record is from RNAcentral.